This 241-nucleotide ribosomal RNA is filed under the name uncultured bacterium. RNAcentral's name for it is "partial 16S ribosomal RNA". It matches the Rfam family "Bacterial small subunit ribosomal RNA", at positions 524 to 776 of the family's 1533-position model. The record is from RNAcentral.
GACAGAGGAUGCAAGCGUUAUCCGGAAUGAUUGGGCGUAAAGCGUCUGUAGGUGGCUUUUAAGUCCGCCGUCAAAUCCCAGGCUCAACCUGGACAGGCGGUGGAAACUACCAAGCUGGAGUACGGUAGGGCAGAGGAAUUCCGGUGGAGCGGUGAAUUCGUAGAUAUUCGGAAGAACACCAGUGGCGAAGCGGCUGACUGGACAUGUAUUGACGCUGAGGUGCGAAGCGUGGAGCAACAGG